GACAGAGGGGGCAAGCGUUGCUCGGAAUUACUGGGCGUAAAGGGCGCGUAGGCGGGAUGGCAAGUCGGUCGUGAAAUCCCUCGGCUCAACUGAGGAGCGUCGAUCGAAACUGCCGUUCUUGAGGGUUGCAGAGGAGACUGGAAUUCCCGGUGUAGCGGUGAAAUGUGUAGAGAUCGGGAGGAACACCGGUGGCGAAGGCGGGUCUCUGGGCAUCUCCUGACGCUGAGGCGCGAAAGCGUGGGGAGCAAACGGG
This 253-nucleotide ribosomal RNA is filed under the name uncultured bacterium. RNAcentral describes it as "partial 16S ribosomal RNA". It matches the Rfam family "Bacterial small subunit ribosomal RNA", at positions 524 to 776 of the family's 1533-position model. The record is from RNAcentral.